RNAcentral lists this small nuclear RNA (121 nucleotides) under Fukomys damarensis (Damara mole-rat). Its description in RNAcentral is "U2 spliceosomal RNA". It matches the Rfam family "U2 spliceosomal RNA". Rfam says of the family: U2 is a small nuclear RNA (snRNA) component of the spliceosome (involved in pre-mRNA splicing). Complementary binding between U2 snRNA (in an area lying towards the 5' end but 3' to hairpin I) and the branchpoint sequence (BPS) of the intron results the bulging out of an unpaired adenosine, on the BPS, which initiates a nucleophilic attack at the intronic 5' splice site, thus starting the first of two transesterification reactions that mediate splicing. The record is from Rfam by way of RNAcentral. Lineage: Eukaryota; Metazoa; Chordata; Mammalia; Rodentia; Bathyergidae.
AUUGCUUCUCGGCCUUUUGGCUAAGAUCAAGUGUAAAGUCAUAUUCCUAGAAAAUUAUUUUUUUAAGUAGAGCAAUAGCACAACAUAAGUUGCUUUUGCAUAUAUCAAAAAUGAACAAUUA